AGGGGGGUGUUUCUACAAGGAGCAGCCUCGCAGUGAUUGCUCCACUCUGAGAGCUCUGACUCACCCAUUCCUCAGCCUCUGGGCUUAUUUUAGCCCCACGUUUCUGGAGGAGGAACUGAGAACAUGAUCAAGGAUCCCGUGGGAAGAGCCUGGGGCCCUCCAGUUCUCAUUGGGGGCCUCAGGCAGCAACUCAUAGCUCCAGCUGCUUUAGAAAUCUGCAACCAGGGGCUCCUGUAGAAUUGGGGCCACCAACCUGGCGGGUUACAGGUAGUAUCAUCUUCUGGUUACUCAUCUGUAUUCACCGCCAACUGCAAGGUCUACGAAGACACCAAGCAAGCCUUAUUAGGCAACUUCUAUAGCCCUCAGGAUACCCUCAGCUGUUCAUCUUUGGCCAUCCCUUCCUCCAGUGCCGUCUUCCCUCCGUGGACCAUCUCAUCCAUCCUGUGUCUCAGGAGGCAAGAUGACUUCCAGCUUGACAUCACCUACCCCUAUGUCCUUCCUGAGCUUCGGUGACUUAUUUAUGUGGAUAAUUCGCUGGAGAUCCUCACAGUCCCUCCACUGAACAUGGCACCGUUUGACUCUGCCAUCCAUGCUCCCACCCUUUUCCCCGUCUAUCCCUCACUCCCCAUGACCUGCUUCUUUGUCAGUCUUCAUUGUCCCAGCUCCUGCAGACCUAGUUGCCCAAACCAGCAACUGGGUUGACACCUUCUCUCAGCUUGCACCUCUCAUGCUGCCUGUUUACAACCAGCCCUCAUUUAUGUGCCUGUAUGUGGACUAGGAGAUAAACCUGUUUGUAAGAUUGUAAUGUGCUAUACACAUAGGGCAGAAUCAUAAUUAUAACUCGUUGAGCAAGAGAAAAAAAAGACAUCCAUCAGCCGAGCAUUAUUUGAGCCCAUUCCUGUAUCUCUCCCAAAGCGGGAGGAGUACUGAAUAAUCUUUAGUUCCCAUCCACUUAGUAGCUGUAGUAGAUCGUAAAAACAGACACAUGUCUUCCUAUCCCUGUAUUCUUGACCCCUGUGAGGUGAUCUUGCAACUUCUCCCAUCAAAAGGUGAGGCACUUCCCACUCCUUGAAUAUAACUUUGACCAUGUGAUUUGCGUUGACCAGUGAGAGAGUAGUAAAUACCACACAAACAUAGGUUGAAAAACACUUGAACAUUAGUACUUGCCUUUGUGGCUUUUGGAAAUUCUGUGACAGCUGCUGUAUGAAUAAGCCCAGGCUAGUCUACUGGAGACAUAUGUCCCAAUGAUCCCCAUCCCCCCACCAGCAGCCAGCACCAACUGUCUGACACAUGAGUGAGACAAGCCUAAAACAAUCAGUCCUCAGCUGACCUGUCCGUGGACUAUAGCUGCUUGAGUGAGCCCAAGCAAGACCAACAGAAGAACUACCCACAGGAUCUCAAAUCAGGUUGCCAACCCGCAGGAACAUGAGCUAAUAAAUCAUUGUGGUUUUUAAACCAAGUAUUGGGAUGGUUGUUAUACAGCAAACACUAACUAAUACACUAGCUGUGUGAUCUUGAGGAAGUAGCAUUACCUCUCUAGGUCUCAGAUUCUUCAUAAAUAAAAAGGGAUAGCAUCUCCAUCCUGGCCCACAGGACUGUCAUGAGGGUCAGUUGAAAUAUAAUUUUAAAAUCUCUUUCUAAACUGCGAUUAAUUUAUAAGCAGGGUGCUUAUUUUGAUAUAUUUAAUCAGCGUGUGUAUCCACCACUGUUUCAGGCUGUGUUUGCAGACUAUGCAAAGGGUAACUGUUCUUAGGCCCAGGGUCCCCAGAAGCCAUGGCCAGUUUUGAUUUGCUCAGUAAUGCACAUAGUCUGAAGAAAGAGACCCAUUAAUAUGUGAAUAUGGCACUAAUGAUAAGGUUCAGGAUAUCUGAGGUUACUGGACUCCAAGAGCAUGUCGGAACUAUUGGGGACUGUCCAGAAGGAAAGUGGGGUCCACCAUUUUUCAGAGUCCCCAAAGAAAUUUUUUAAAGACUGCCAAGAACCACAAGAGCGAGUGCCAACAUUAAGUGCUUUUCAACUAGUCUCUACCUUUUCAUAGGAGAAGCUGCAAGGUCACGUUACAAAGGGGCGAGAAAACAGGGUUAGGAAAAAUAUGCAUCAAAAUAAAGUUUGAAUGUUAAAUACUAAUAAAUAGCUUAAUACAUUACUUUCAUGUCGACUAUCUCAGCAAUCGUGAGAAAUUGGGUAUUAUCCCCAUUUUAUGAGUCAGGAAAUAAAACUUAGGGCAGAAUAGGAGGGGAGAAGUGGGCACUUGUUUUAAAAGAGCUGACGUAUUUAUUCUGUGUCUAGAUGCAGAGAGUAAAAUGCUCACACCCGCUGAGUGGCAGCAGGACCCACUGCUCCUAGGGGAGUGAGGGGGUCCCAGCUGGACUCCCACACCCCUAACCUCGCUGCCAGGAAGGUCCUGAAUUAGUCAUGAGCACUCUGGCAUCAGACACACUGGUAGAUCUAUUUAAAGCUAAAGAACUUGGGUUGAGCUGAGGACUGCAAAGAUACUUGGCUGGGAAGCUCAGGCACAUCGUGGAGAGGGAAUGUUGGUCGAAGCCACAUCUCGUUCUCUCUGUCAACUCAGCACCUAGCACAGGGCGUGGCGUAGAUGGAGGCACAUGGUGAAUGAGUGCGUAUUGGGAUAACUCCUUCUUCCUUUCACUCAUCAUUUAUCCCUGCAUCGUUUAAGCAGCAUUUUUAUGCACUUCUUAUAUGCCAGGCAGUGACAAUACACAAACACAUAAAACCUAGUGUUAAAGGUUGGAUUGUGUCCCCCUCAAAGAUAUUUUGAAGUCUUAAUCCUCCCCACCUGUAAAUGUGACCUUAUUUGGAAAUAGGGUCUUUGCAGAUAUAAUCAAGUUAAAGUGAGGUCAUCCUGGGUGACCAGUAGGGUGGAGCCUAAUCCAGUGACUGGUGUCUUUAUAAAAGAAAGGAGAGGGGGAUUUGGGCACAGAGACACAGGGAAGAAGGCCACAUGACAACAGAGGCAGAGAUCGGAGUGAUGCACUUACAAACUGAGGAACACCAAGGAUUGUGAACGACCAGAAGCUGGAAGAGGCAAGGAAGGAUCCUCUUCUCGGGCCUGCAGAGGGAGCUGGCCCUGAUACCUUGACUUCAGACUUCGUGAGAGAAUAAAUUUCUGUUGUUUUAAGCCAGUUUCUGGUAGUUUGUUAUGGCAGCCCCAGGAAAGCAAUAGAUGAGUCUUCCUCCUGUGGUGGAGGAGACAGAGGUAUUAACAGUUCAUUGUAUUACAACGCGUGACUUAGACAAUGGAAGUGUGUGCGAAGUGUUGUAAGACCACAGGGGAAGGAGUAAUAAACUCUUCCUGAAGGGACCAGGGAAGUCCUCAUAAAUGAAGUGAUAUUUGAGUAGGAUCUUAAAGGAUGGAUGAGCAUUCAUUAACCAAAAAAGUGGACAAGAAUAUUUCAGGAGGAAUUGACAGCACAUCCAAAGGAUAGUAGGCUUGGACCUGAAUGGCGUUUUUAGGGAUGGCAAAUAAUUUUGAAAGACUACAGCUGAGAGGGGGCUGGGUGUGAGGUUGGGAAUUUCCGCUGAGCCUGGAGCAUGAAGUGUGUAGGAACCUGAUUGCCAGGGGAGCCUCUGAGAGUAAUGCCAUCAGCAGAUCACAGAGAGAACUAGAGGUGAGACGGGAGGCAGGGCUCUGGUCAGGAGAUUGCUUAGUGCCAUAGUUCAUGCAAGAGAUGGGGAGCCUCUUGACCAGGAUUGUAGAGAGGACGGCUUGAUUUGGCCAAAUAGCCGGUCCUCAGAAUGGCCCAGAUAUGCCACAGUCUUCUCCCCAACUCCCUAUCCUCCACAUCAGAAUAGAUAUGACCAUUUAAGGAUAGUGUUUUCCCUUAUCCCUCAGCUUCAGAUGAGCAGUGAGAGUCAUAUUCAUUGCGGAGCUGUGUCUAUGAUGCUCUGCGAUGGUUAGAAAGUUCUGGUUACAUCUUUAUACCAAACUACAAAGAAAGAGUCCACUCUCCUGGAUUUAGAAUAAGAACACACUUUGUUUGCUACGAGUUUAGGAGACAGAACGUAGGUGGAUCGCUCCAUCCAUUCCUCCCCACAGUUCUUGCCCAUGGCCCACUAGAACGAUUCCCAAAACUACCUCUACAGCCUUUGAGGGGCUGCACGUUGGGCCAAUUAAAUUUCUCCACUGUAUUUAUUAAUUUGCUGAAAAAAUAGGGGGGGAAACCCCUCUAGACUCUAUGUAUCUUUUAUUAAGGAAUUAAAAGAAGAGCGUAAAGAAUAUUUCUGCUAGGGACUCAGGAGGCUGGAUUUUGUGAGAUUUGGCUCUGGGAAUAAAAUGCUAAGUGGAUAGAGGAGGAAAAUACUGUGAAAGGUAUAGAAGAGAUUAAAAAUCAACUUUGAGCCUGUAUGAGGUGCCAAACAACCUCAAAUUCAUCAAAUCACUAAACUCUCGCAACAUAUCUCCACAGUUGGUAUUACCACUUCCACUUCACAGAUGCAGAAAUAAAGGUUCAGAGAGACUAUACCUCCCUCCAGAGCCACACAGCGUGGAAGGGGCAGAGCUGGGAUUCGAAUCCUUGCUGAUCACUUCCAAAGUCUUUUCCCUUCAUUGCACUACCACCCAGAACCUGGUCCAGGCCAAGGAUGGGAUGGCUCUGGCCUGGUCUUCUCCAGGCAGGCACAUGUGGGCUCCCUUCUGGGCAUCAAAUAGAUCUGGAGCAGAGUCAGAGGAGAUUGAGCAGAAGUUGACUAUGUUUGUCAUAUGAGAAGUGAUAGCAGGAACUGGAGACUAUUGGCUUCGGGAAGAGAAAACUCUGGGGAUGCGACAGCUGUCUUCACAUAUUUGAAGGGCUGCCAUGAGGAAGAGAGAUUAGACUUAUGCUGGAAGGCCUCUGGGGGCAGAAAUAAAGGUGACGGAUGACAAUGACAGGCAGUCAUACGUCAGCUCAAUAAAAGAGCGACUCUCCCACCAGGCAGAACUAGAAAGAUGGGCUGUCUUGGGAAGACAAGAGCUCCCUGUUGUCAGGGUCUCCAAGAACAGGCAAGUUGAUUCUGUGGUGGCAAUGCUGCGGAAGAAAUUCAAGGAUUGAGGAGCAAGAGAACUCGGUUCUCUGAAAGGCCUCUGAUAGCUCAGAGAAUCCAAUUUUGUGGUCUAUUUAUACUCUCAGUGCCCAAAUCUGACUUCAAAUAACUGCGCAAUUGGUAACUCUAGCGCCAUACAUUCCAUACCCCUAAGUAACUUUACUGGAAAUAAAAGUCACAGUCUUUACAAUGUCCUACAGGGGCCUACAUGCUACAGCCCCACCUCUGUUCUUGCACUCCAGACGAGAUGGUCUCCUUGCUAUGCUUCAAACAGUCCAGAUGCACCCGACCCUAGGAAAUUUCCCGUGGCUGUUCCUUCUCAAAGCACACUCUUCACCCAAAUAACCCUGUGAUUAUUUCGUCUCCCUGGCCCCCUUCAAGUAGUUGCCCAAGUGCCCCAGUCUCAAUGACAGCUUCCUUGAGAAUUCUGUUGAAAAUUAUUUCCCACCUGUACAUCCCACACCUCCAAUUCCACCUUAGUCUGCUCAAUUUUUUUCAUGGCGUUUAUAAUUUUCUAACAUGCUGAAUCUUUUGCUUAUUCAUCAUGCUAUUAUUUGUUGCCCACCUCCCCUCACUAGGACGCAAGCUUCCCAAGGGCAGGAAUUGUUUUACCAUUUUGUUCACAGCUGACUCCCAAGCACAUAAACAGUGUCUGACACAAAGUAAGUGCUCAAUAAAUAUUUUUGGAAUGAAUGAGAUUUCCUUUCGUUCUCACGCUCCUUCUUGGGAGAAGGUUUUUGGUAAGCCUAAGAGGCACACCUACCUAGCAUGAUAACACACCUAAAUUCAGCCGGGAACGAUGGUCAAAGUCAGCAAGGAGAGUUGUCUUAACAGAUAUUCCAUUCUGCAGAAAAUGGAAAACUUAUUGUCUGCUCCAAUGAUGAGCUGAAUCUGAAGGAUUUGUGAUGUCCUAGGUUAGAACCAGAUACAGUAUAGAGGACAGAGGGAUUCGUGGGGAAGUAGAUGGAGAAAAAUCAUAAAAAGAAGAGAAUUCCUAGAAACUCAUCCACGGUGCCCUCAGCAUGGAUGUAACUGUCAUUAAUCAUUUAAUGGGAGCUUAAUAUGUGCCACACACUGUUUUAAACACUUGACAAGGAUUGUUUCACUCUUCAAUCAACCCUAUGAGACAGGUCUAUUGUUACCCCCAUUUUACAGACACGAAAAAUGGGGCAUGGCAAGUUAAUUAAUGAGCCCAAAGUCAUACAGCUGCUAAAUCCUAAAUCCUAAAUCUUAAAUGCCCUAGCACAGCCGGGGAUUCAAGGCCAGGUAGCCUGGUUCAGAAGCCUGCACUCUUAGCUAUUCAGUUCCUCUGCCUGAAAAAUAUAAAGAACAAUUAAGCACUCGUCUCUGAAUUUUAUGUGUAACUGUGAUUGGCUAAUAGUAAGACAUCUUCCUGGUAUCGACGGUGCCUGUGCAUAGUCUGCCAAGAGCAUGGGCUGCCCCAGGUGCUUAACAAAGCUGUCCCGCUGUCUGUGACUCAGAUGCUUCCUCAAUGGUGUAGCCUUCAGCCCGAGACAGACUUCCCACUGUCACAGACAAGACAAAAACACUAACAUUUGGACAGCGUUUUAAAACUUAGAAAUAUUUUCAUUUGAUCCCUCACAGCAAGUAUGUGGAGUAUUUAGGCAGUCUCUUUUAAACAGGAGAAAUCUGACAGACACAGGGGACUCCACCCCCAUCAUCUGGCCCAAGGUCCGAUGCUUUUCUGAAUUACACCACGUUGCCUUCAACUCCAGGUUGUUGUCUGCAGCACGCCACCCUCCAGAAUCCCCACUAGUCUAUUAAAAAUCAGAUACUGUCUCUGUACCAUUGACCUUAGAUUAGAGACAAGUUGAGUAUGAUGCACCUAUAUUUAGAUCUUAAUUUCUAGGCUUCAAAUGUAAAGUUAGUGAAAGAUAUAUAUGUGGGCCUAUUUAUUCAAAGGAUUUUUGUUGAUUGCAUACAAUGUGUUAGGCCUGUGCUGUCCAAUAUAGUUGCCAUUGGCCACAUGUGGUUUUUGAGCAGUUGAUAUAGGACUACUAUUACUAAGGAACAGAAUUUUUAAUAUUAUUUAGUUUUCAUUACUUUGAAUUAAAUUUUUUCC
This is a non-coding RNA of Equus caballus (horse), 7123 nucleotides long. Lineage: Eukaryota; Metazoa; Chordata; Mammalia; Perissodactyla; Equidae. The record is from RefSeq and is a predicted model, not a curated record.